CCCGCUACAGGUCUCACACUCCCUCGGCUGCAGGUCGCGGCCUCCCGCGGCUGCAGGUCGCGGAUUCGACUUCGUCGCUGCACAUAGGGACCGUGGCCUCCCCCGCGUGUGGUCGCCUCCGUCCUGCUUCGGCCCGUUUCCGGCUAUCCAUAGACUGAUUGAACUGACGGGCAUCCCCUCCGACGAUUGCAGCUUCACCAAUGUUGCCGUUCAACAACGCAGCGGUGAGAUGCUUUUCUCUCGUUUUCUCCCGCCUCUGUAAUUUCUUUUUGAUUUUGGGGACUGAGUGAGUGCAGUACACCGAGGCAUUCCAUGUGCUGAUGGGUUUUCUUGAUUAGCACAAAUUCAUGAACUAUCAUUUUUUUAAUUGAACUGUUGCUACUCUUGAUUCAGAUCUGAGGGGAGAAGACAAACUAAAUGAUUCAGUUCAUCAUUGGCAUCCUUGUGAACAGUUUUGAAGAUAGCUUUCAGAGACUAAUUACGUGAUAUUUCUCUCAAACUUUUUCUACAAAUAGCCUGGGACUUCCACUGACUGUGCCACUGCUUCAGCGUCCACCAUCAGUGGCAUUGGCCGCCCUCUGGUAUGUUGCUAUACUACAUCUCUGCAUGUAUUUUGUUGGGACAAAUGCAUUUUUGCCCCUAGUUGGAACCUACCCACGGGUUUUGCUCUUACUUUUCGACUCUGCUCAGUUUUGCCCUUAGAUUUUGCUGCGAGGUCGCCCGAAUGCCCUUUGACCAUUUGACCAAUACUUUGAAAAUUCAUAACAAAUUGAUAUGAGCUCAGAAAAAUGCAAAUAAGAUAUCAAAAUGUUCAGAUAAACAUUAUCUUUAUGUUUAUGUCAUUUGCAUUCAAGACAAAAGUACCAUUUAAUCAAACUAAGGUUAUUAAUGUUAUUAACAUUAUUAAAAAUAAAAAGGUAUAAACAAUAACUUUUUGAGGAAUAAAAAUAACACGCAAAUGCAGGUGGCAUUUUAUGAACAUCCCGAUAUCUUAUUGGCAUUAUUAUGAGUUCAUAUCAACUUGUUAUGAAGUUUUAAAAUAAUGGUCAGUCAUUUGAACAUUCAUCACAAGUUGAUACGAACUCAGAAAAAUGCAAAUAAGAUAUCAGGAUGUUCAGAAAACGUCCCCUACAUUUGUAUGUAAUUUUUAUUCCUGGAAAAAAAUUAUUUUUAUACCAUUUUAUUUAUAGUAAUGUUAAUAACAUUAAUAACCUUAGGUUGUUUAAAUGGUAUUUUUUUCCUGAAUGCAAAUGACAUGCACAUAAAGGUAAUGUUUAUCUGAACAUUUUGAUAUCUUAUUUGCAUUUUUCUGAGUUUAUAUCAAUUUCUUAUGAAUUUUCAAAGUAUUGGUCAAACGGUCAAAGGGCAUUGAAGCGACCUCGGAGGAAAAUCUAAGGGCAAAACUGAGCAGAGUCGAAAAGUAAGGGCAAAACCCGUGGGUAGGUUCCAACUAGGGGCAAAAAUGUAAUUGUCCCUAUUUUGUUUGGGAUGUAAGUCUUUCUAUAGAUCAUGUUAUGAGUAAUGGAAUAGGACGAGGUUGCUAGGAAGAUUUUUAGUUCACCUUUAAUGUGAUGUGCACUUCAUCUUUACAGAGCCAAAUCUUGGCGCUCCCAGCCGCUGCUCCUGAACCCCGCCUCCAUCAGCUCCACUUCACCGGAGCCGCCAGUCCGCAUGAGUAGGGCUAGCGUAUCCCCCUACAGCGGUCAAAUCCCACUGCACCCAGCCGCUGCUCUUGAACCUCGCCUCCAUCAGCUCCACUUCACUGGAGCCGUCAGUCUGCAGGAGUAGGGGUAGCAGGUUCACCCAACGUCGGACGCCUUCUUCCAUCUCCAAAAAUCUUGUUUUUGAGUUCAGUUCUUCAUCACAUGUUUCACUAGCUGAAAUUGCUUGACGAACAGAGCAAAGGUUGUAUCUUCGUCUACUGUUUUUCAGAUAUUUGUCAUAUGCAUGGGCACGGCUAUAUUUGCUUGUUAUGAUCUAGUGGGCACCAUUAACAUUUGAUAUUCCUUCUGCAGGGCCCAAACCCGCUAUCGUGCAAGAAAAAGAAAUCAAAGCCCCAACCGUCAGCUGCUCAAAUCAUCAGGUAAUUAAUCAGCACUAAACAUACGUGUCUAAUCCAAUGUUGCGAAAGCAAGCUUGGAGUUGCUUGACUUAUCUUGAGGUGUAGAACUGAUAUAAGACGGAGAAGAGAUAAUGCAACAAAAAUGUUAGAUAGGCAGGGGAAGUCCAUUGUGCAUUCUGAUUUGUUGUAGCUCCUGACAUCACGGUUUAUGUGUGCUGUAGGAUUGAUUUUUGUUUGGUUUAAAUAGUAAUAUCCUAAUUCUGUUCAUGGAGGACGCUUGAGUGGGUUGUCUAUUUGAUGAUUUUAGUUACCGCUCAACACCUCAUUCCAUUAGUAUAGCGAGAACUACACAAGAUAAAUAAGAUGGGAGAGGAUAAAUAUCAUUGUGUGGUUCUUUUGCAAAUUAAAUCAAAUAGUCCGUGCACAGUAAAAGGGAAUAUUUACAAAGAAAAAUGUACUGAAAGUACAUUUAUCAUAUUUUGUGAAGUUCUAGAAAAAGAAAAGGAAAAGUUCAAGCAAAACCAAAAAGUUCAAAAAUAGGGCCAUUAUUGGUCGCCUGGGUCAGUUCAUGUGCUACCAUUGGAGGAGUUUAAAAAAUCAUAACUAGUGCAUUUCCAUAAAAUUCUGUAGUUUCGUGUGUGUGCUGCUACAAAUAUGAACAAUUUUUUUUCCAAUCAUACUAGUACUGAUGCAAUCACCUAAAAUAAGUUGAAGAAAAAUUCUGUAAGUUUGGUGCAUGUGUUGCUACAAAAAUCUAUUGUAUGUCUGUGUGUAGCUACUGUAUGUCUUCUGAAUCAUGAUGCAUGAUAUUCUUUCAGGAAAAAUAUUUUCAGGUUAUUGGUGCCGCUGGAUAACUGUCAUAGUUUGUCGCCAGCAAAGUCCUCGAACUUGGUCUACACCAGUAGUAGAACUUACUGGUUCUCCGUGACCUAAAGUUGAAAACAGACAAAAAUUCUCAAGUAAUGUAAUCUGUAGCAAAACACACAAUUCUUUUAUCGAAAUGUUGUAACUAGAGGACUAUAACCACUACAGGAUGCCAAAAAAGUAUCAGACUGCACAAGUAGUGUUCCAUUUAUCUUUCUCUCAUGCCUGCCCUUUUGAUCUUAUAGGAAUUGAGGCUUCGCCAAGGAACAAGACUGGUAACUAGCGCAAAGGAGACUAUGUCGAGAGGUGGCACUGCAAGACUUGCUGAUGUGUAGUUAUGGCAUAAAAAGAUGAAAAAAUUGUAUCUUGUAUGAUUCCAUAAGCUGUACAUAGCAAAUCUUCCCAUGUGGAUCAGUACAACUUAUGUACGGCCUUGAGUUCACAAAUCUUAUAGUAAUCUUUGUAGUGCUUUUCGUAACACUAAGUAAAGCAAGAGUAGCCCUUUUCUUGUGAGCAACAAUUCAAACGAAUCUGUUGUAUCAGUUCUUAUGAUAGAUAGAAGAUAAAACAAGAAAGAGAAGCCCUUUUUUUGUAUCAGCUCUGUUGAAUCUGUUGUAUCAGCAAGAGUAGCCCUUUUUUUGUAUAAGUUCACUAGCCAAAAGGUUAGAGAAGUCUACCUUAUAAUUUGCAAUCUUAAAG
RNAcentral lists this long non-coding RNA (3625 nucleotides) under Triticum aestivum (bread wheat). RNAcentral describes it as "long non-coding RNA (TAES_LNC008229)". Lineage: Eukaryota; Viridiplantae; Streptophyta; Magnoliopsida; Poales; Poaceae. The record is from RNAcentral.